RNAcentral lists this ribosomal RNA (468 nucleotides) under uncultured bacterium. RNAcentral describes it as "partial 16S ribosomal RNA". It matches the Rfam family "Bacterial small subunit ribosomal RNA", at positions 28 to 507 of the family's 1533-position model. The record is from RNAcentral.
GACGAACGCUGGCGGCGUGCUUAACACAUGCAAGUCGAACGGAAAGGCCCUGCUUUUGUGGGGUGCUCGAGUGGCGAACGGGUGAGUAACACGUGAGUAACCUGCCCUUGACUUUGGGAUAACUUCAGGAAACUGGGGCUAAUACCGGAUAGGAGCUCCUGCUGCAUGGUGGGGGUUGGAAAGUUUCGGCGGUUGGGGAUGGACUCGCGGCUUAUCAGCUUGUUGGUGGGGUAGUGGCUUACCAAGGCUUUGACGGGUAGCCGGCCUGAGAGGGUGACCGGCCACAUUGGGACUGAUAUACGGCCCAGACUCCUACGGGAGGCAGCAGUGGGGAAUAUUGCACAAUGGGCGGAAGCCUGAUGCAGCAACGCCGCGUGCGAGAUGACGGCCUUCGGGUUGUAAACCGCUUUCGCCUGUGACGAAGCGUGAGUGACGGUAAUGGGUAAAGAAGCACCGGCUAACUACGUG